Molecule: long non-coding RNA, 1183 nt
Filed under: Citrus maxima (pomelo)
Lineage: Eukaryota; Viridiplantae; Streptophyta; Magnoliopsida; Sapindales; Rutaceae
Description: long non-coding RNA (CMAX_LNC003558)
Source: RNAcentral
AACUUCUUUAUGGGAUCGGUCCACUUUAAAGAUGUGGCCUUGGCACAUAUUUUGGUGUAUGAGAACCCAUCAGCAUGUGGAAGGCAUCUGUGUGUAGAAGCAAUAUCUCAUUAUGGUGACUUUGUGGCCAAGGUCGCAGAACUUUACCCUGAAUAUGACAUUCCAAGGUAAUGAGUUUGACUUCCUCCUAUACCUACAUCAUAAAUAAUUUUAAAAAAAAAUUACCUGCAUAAUAGGUUUGCAACAGAAAUAAUGUUCAUCUCUUUUUAUAAUCCAUGAAAACAUAUCAGAAAUUUGACUCAAAUUUAUAUAAUCAUAUUGCAUGCCAAAGACAAAUGAUCUAGACAUGGUAAUGCUGAAACGGGAAGAUAUAGAAGUUUCAUGACUCACUUCUGUUUAGCAAUUUAUGAACAGCACUUCUGCUUGUUGAUCAAUGUCAAAUAUCUGAACUGCUAUGUAAGAAGGCUAUUUUUGCCAUACUUGAUCCUAUGAUUUGCCAAAGUCUAGCUUUCAUAUGUAAAAUAUGACAGUACUUCAGCUGUUUUAUUAUGUGGGUAAGCAGUACAUAUACAUACAUGCUGCCUCCACACUGAGUUCUUUUCUUCCUAAUCUCUCAAGCCUCUAAAUUUUUCCUGGUUGGUUUAAGUUCUCUUUUUCCAAUUGUAUUGCUAGAGAUCGUUAAAAGUAUUAGUCAUUAUGUCUGGUUAAUUAUCGACGUUGAAAUUUUCUACAUGGAUUUCAAUCACUCUUUCUAGAUAAUUUGAUGUUUAUGGUGAAUUGCAAGUUCUUGAUAAAUAUAUAAUGCUUCUAAGCUGUAUUUUCCUGCAUUUUCAUGUAGACUGCCAAAAGACACCCAACCUGGGUUAUUGAGGACCAAGGAUGGAGCCAAAAAGCUGAUGGACUUGGGUUUACAAUUCAUUCCCAUGGAUCAAAUCAUCAAGGACUCUGUCGAGAGUUUGAAGGCCAAGGGAUUUAUCUCUUGAAUGAAAGCUGCAACGUGUCAGCAGCUGCUGAUGAACCACCCAUCCGUUUUAUACAAGUAGAGGACUGAGAGCUAUAGUAUAAUUAGAUAAUUUGGCUAAAUGUUGUCUCUUUGUAAUUUUCUGUGAAAUAUCGUUGAGAUGAGCCACUGUCAGGAAGUCGACAACUUAAUAAAUAAAAUAUCUUUCUAGACUUCCUCUUU